Molecule: microRNA precursor, 103 nt
Filed under: Marmota monax (woodchuck)
Lineage: Eukaryota; Metazoa; Chordata; Mammalia; Rodentia; Sciuridae
Source: RNAcentral
AGUGGAAUAGCUGGGUCAAAUGGUGGUUCCAUUCCAUGUUUUCUGAGUUAUCUCCAUACUGCUUUCCAUAGUGGUUGCAUCAAUUUGCAGUCCUACCAGCAAU